GACGAACGCUGGCGGCGUGCUUAACACAUGCAAGUCGAACGGUAAGGCCCUUCGGGGUACACGAGUGGCGAACGGGUGAGUAACACGUGGGUGAUCUGCCCUGCACUUCGGGAUAAGCCUGGGAAACUGGGUCUAAUACCGGAUAGGACCACUGCCUGCAUGGGUGGGGUGGAAAGCUUUUGCGGUGUGGGAUGGGCCCGCGGCCUAUCAGCUUGUUGGUGGGGUGAUGGCCUACCAAGGCGACGACGGGUAGCCGGCCUGAGAGGGUGACCGGCCACACUGGGACUGAGAUACGGCCCAGACUCCUACGGGAGGCAGCAGUGGGGAAUAUUGCACAAUGGGCGCAAGCCUGAUGCAGCGACGCCGCGUGAGGGAUGACGGCCUUCGGGUUGUAAACCUCUUUCAGCACCGACGAAGCGCAAGUGACGGUAGGUGCAGAAGAAGGACCGGCCAACUACGUGCCAGCCGCCGCGGUAA
Molecule: ribosomal RNA, 477 nt
Filed under: uncultured bacterium
Lineage: Bacteria
Description: partial 16S ribosomal RNA
Rfam family: Bacterial small subunit ribosomal RNA
Source: RNAcentral